UAUAGAUGGUUAAUAGAAGAUAUGUUUCCUGUGUCACAAUAAAUAACACUUUUUCUCCUCCAUAUUUAGGCUUCAGCUUAUAAUGUUUCUUGAUUGAAUCAUUUGCUGGACUUCAUGUGACUUCAUAGAUAAAACUAGUCUUGCUGAGAGGUUAAGAGAUACUGCAGCCCCAAAAGAGCUCCCUCAUCAGAAGAUGUGGAGAGAUAUUGUAGGAGAGACCGGACUGUUUUAACUGUUCUAACCUUAGCUCCCUCAGCAGAAUGGUUUGAAAGAGGCUUGUUGAACUUUCUGCAACCACGAGCCCCACAGCUAGUUCUCCUAGUCCAAGAAGAAGGUUUUCUUGCCCCUGCGCAUGCACGGAAUUCAGCACAGCUGGUAGGAUUAAAUGCUCGCUCUUCUUUUUUUGCAACACCAACAGUCUUGCCAUCUAUAAGUGAGUUUUUUUGACUUUAUAAUAUUCAGUAUUAUAAUUGUCUCUGGGAGCUGAAAGAUGCGUGAAAUGUUAACCUUUAUAAAUGAGUGAUUCCCCAAUCACUGUGCCAUGAAACAGUUGCUUAAACUAACUGGAGAAAGAGUGGAAUAGAUACCAGCUCAGGAGUUCAGGUGACAUUAAAAAUGAAAGAGAGUAUAUGAGUGAAUAACAGAUCAUACCGUUAUGCUGCAAAUGUAUUCCCGUGUUCUUUUGAACCAAUACUUUAGCCUUGUACUCACAGACAGAAGUCCCUCGAAACGGCGUUAAAGAGGAGUGCUAAAAAUUUGACAAAAUUUGAUUCUGUUCCAGGCUCAUUUUAUACAUAUGCUGAGUUUGAUGAGAAUUUGCCUGAGUAAUUAGUACAGGAUCUAGUUUGAGGAUGACUAGCUUAGACGUCCUGGAACAGUAAAAGCCUGUUAGUCCGCCUUGAAAAUGAGUUGUCUUCGGAAACAGAUAAGGCCAGUGAAAAGGCCAAGAGAUGGUAGGUCUGCAGAGCAAGAAACAGGCUCGCAGUGUUAAUGGAGAAUGGGAAUAGUCUGUUUUGACUUGCAUUUGCAAUGUAGCCCCU
Molecule: long non-coding RNA, 1040 nt
Filed under: Struthio camelus australis
Lineage: Eukaryota; Metazoa; Chordata; Aves; Struthioniformes; Struthionidae
Description: lncRNA (ENSSCUG00000009318.1)
Source: RNAcentral